RNAcentral lists this ribosomal RNA (253 nucleotides) under uncultured bacterium. Its description in RNAcentral is "partial 16S ribosomal RNA". It matches the Rfam family "Bacterial small subunit ribosomal RNA", at positions 524 to 776 of the family's 1533-position model. The record is from RNAcentral.
UACGUAGGGUCCGAGCGUUGUCCGGAAUUAUUGGGCGUAAAGGGCUCGUAGGCGGUUUGUCGCGUCGGGAGUGAAAACCUUGGGCUUAACUCAGGGCUUGCUUUCGAUACGGGCAGACUAGAGGUAUGCAGGGGAGAACGGAAUUCCUGGUGUAGCGGUGAAAUGCGCAGAUAUCAGGAGGAACACCGGUGGCGAAGGCAGGUCUCUGGGCAUUAACUGACGCUGAGGAGCGAAAGCAUGGGGAGCGAACAGG